GCACAACGUGCAGCUUUGUUACAUAUGUAUACAUGUCCCAUGUUGGUGUGCUGCAACCUUUAACUUUGAUUGAGGCACUAUUCGCAAUAGCAAAGACUUGGAAAACAGAGGUUUUAAACAGAGGCACAACAAUCAAAUAUGCAUUUAGGAAGAUAACUUGACUACUGGUGGAGAAAACACUGGAAGGAAAAAGGGAAGAAGAGCAGUUUAGAAUUCUCUUAAGAUAAUAAGGCAUCUAUACCCUCUGUUUGUUUCUUAGGGAUCAUUAAUUCUCUCAAGACUCAAAAGGCUAAUAAUGAUUGCUGUGGAAAAAUACUACUUUCCCAAAAGUGCCUAUGGAUUUACAGAUCAUCCUGAAGACAGAAGCAGAAAUAUGUGGGCUACAAUAUGAACAUGAUUAUAAGCUUCCUGAUGCGUCCCCAGAAGCCGAGCAGAUGCUAGCCCCAAGAUUCCUGUAAAGCCUGCAGAACCAUGAGCCAAUUAAACCUCUUUUCUUUAUAAAUUACC
Molecule: long non-coding RNA, 507 nt
Filed under: Homo sapiens (human)
Lineage: Eukaryota; Metazoa; Chordata; Mammalia; Primates; Hominidae
Description: HSALNT0271160
Source: RNAcentral